AGCAGCCGCGGUAAUUCCAGCUCCAAUAGCGUAUAUUAAAGUUGUUGCAGUUAAAAAGCUCGUAGUUGAAUUUCGGGAUCAAGUCGUCGGUCGUGCUCAGGUACGUACUGGCGUCAUUGAUUUCUCCCUUCUGACGAACCAUGAUGUCAUUAAUUUGGUGUUAUGGGAAAUCAGGACUGUUACUUUGAAAAAAUUAGAGUGUUUAAAGCAGGCUCACGCUUGAAUACAUUAGCAUGGAAUAAUGAAAUAGGACGUUCGAUCCUAUUUUGUUGGUUUUAGGAUCAACGUAAUGAUUAAUAGGGAUAGUUGGGGGCAUUAGUAUUCAAUUGUCAGAGGUGAAAUUCUUGGAUUUAUUGAAGACUAACUACUGCGAAAGCAUUUGCCAAGGAUGUUUUCAUUAAUCAAGAACGAAAGUUAGGGGAUCGAAGACGAUCAGAUACCGUCGUAGUCUUAACCAUAAACUAUGCCGACUAGGGAUCGGAUGAUGUUAAUUUUUAAUGACUCAUUCGGCGCCUUAAC
RNAcentral lists this ribosomal RNA (519 nucleotides) under uncultured Glomus. RNAcentral describes it as "SSU rRNA". It matches the Rfam family "Eukaryotic small subunit ribosomal RNA", at positions 569 to 1092 of the family's 1831-position model. The record is from RNAcentral. Lineage: Eukaryota; Fungi; Glomeromycota; Glomeromycetes; Glomerales; Glomeraceae.